AAACUUUGGAACAGCUGCACCUUUAUCAGGCUGCAACAUCAGAAUGCCAAAAUCAUAACAUAUUCGCAAUAGAAAAUAUCACGAAGAUUCUAAGGUACAAUAAUAUAUAUGCAGAUUUUUACUCUUCAUGCCAUGCACAGUGAUAACAUACGACGGAAGAAAAGAAAAACUAACAGUUUCAUCCCCUCGAUUAGCUGGUCUUAAUCGAGAUCUUCCCGGUGUACCAUGGCUGCUGUCAUAGGAAUUAUUCUUUCCUUCCCAAGAGGGACUAUCUCUUCCAGCAGGAGCUCUAGCCUGACGAUGAAGGGGUGACCGUUCAACGCUGUGCUCAGACCCAGCAGUAC
Molecule: long non-coding RNA, 344 nt
Filed under: Medicago truncatula (barrel medic)
Lineage: Eukaryota; Viridiplantae; Streptophyta; Magnoliopsida; Fabales; Fabaceae
Description: long non-coding RNA (MTRU_LNC005877)
Source: RNAcentral